This 312-nucleotide long non-coding RNA is filed under the name Parus major (Great Tit). RNAcentral describes it as "lncRNA (ENSPMJG00000011559.1)". Lineage: Eukaryota; Metazoa; Chordata; Aves; Passeriformes; Paridae. The record is from RNAcentral.
AUUAAUAGGGGGUUGUAACACAAUACAAGCCAAGUGGCAGGUGUCAGGAAAAGUCCAUUACCAUCGCUCUUGUCUUUUGCCAAAGGACGGUUCUACCUUUGCUAAAAGUGCAUUUCUACCUGAGCAGGAAACAAGGCUGGAAAAGCCUAAUACUGAGAAACAAAAUUAACUCUCUGAAGAACAGAACCAGCUGCAGCAGAAGGAACAAAGGACUCCCAAGUGGUUCUGGACUGCCUGGUGAAUCCCUUAGGCUCUGCUGGAAUGCUGAAGAGCUGUCUCAGUUCAGCUCCAAGGGCACAAAGUGUUCAGCCA